UCUUGUGCACUGUAGCAAUCUCAAAACUGAUUUCCUGAUGAUAAUUAUUUAUAGAUGGAAUAGCUUAUUAAUAGGAACUUAUUUCAAAAUCAGGUGAUGGCAUAGAUUGCCUAGUAGAUAGAUGUACGUUUUUCAAAUUACUGAAGGAAUUUGUUACUCCUGUUUCUGACUUCUCUGCAAAUGCUAAAAAAAAUUCCAGACAAGGUCACUGCAAGCACAUUUUCCAUCUGUCAGUUGGGGAAAAAAUGGCAUCAGUAGGGAAUAAAAACUUCGAAACAACUGGUACUUUCUGAGGGCCUAUGACCUAUCUGAACUAAUUAAGCACUCUUUGAAGUACCAGUAUUUCAGCCUUCAUAAUACAUCAUGCAUAGUCAUUGCCUUUUUUUUUCUGGAGCAGCAAACUGCAAUGCAGCAGAUGGGAUUUCCAAGAGUAUUGCCCUGUCCUCACUUAUGUUGGAGUCAAUGAGAGUUUUCACAUCGAUAUUUAUGGGAAAGAGAAUCCCAUGGAACACGUGGAGUCCCUCUGUCAGGAUAUCUCUCACCAGCCUGGAAUCCUGGAGUGAGGCUUCAUCUGUGACCAGAUGCCUUUGAAAUGGUGAAACUUUGGAAUGGUGUGGAUGGUACAUCUCAGCCCUAGACAGAUGUCUAAAAUCACAGAGAAGAAUCACACUCUGGAGGUGCUAGACUGUCUGUCGACUUUCAAGUGAAUCCAGAUGAGCAGCUGGAACAAGAUACUUCAUUCUGGAUAGCUAAAAUUAGGUGAUAUGUAUCUAUACCAAUUACCUACAAAUUCUUGCUGCCAGCAUGGCUUACAAGGACUAGUUUAGAUUAUGUGUACUUGUCAGGGAGCAAUGAGUGAAAUUUGUUUUGACAUUGUUUCACUCUAAUGCGGCAGAAGAUGGUAAGAAUAUGCAAGCACAGGGUCCUUCUGCAUAAUUUGUAUAAUGAUGAUGAUUAUGGUACUGGCAACAUUUGUGAGAAAGAGAGCAAUUGACAGAGGAUGGGAAGAAGCACAAGCAAAUAAACUAACACAAUGAUCUAAUCUCA
This 1047-nucleotide long non-coding RNA is filed under the name Cyanistes caeruleus (blue tit). Its description in RNAcentral is "lncRNA (ENSCCEG00000020027.1)". The record is from RNAcentral. Lineage: Eukaryota; Metazoa; Chordata; Aves; Passeriformes; Paridae.